CUCCACUUCCUGUGGCAGAUUCCACGCAGCUCCAUCAUUCCCUGACAGGCCGCAGUAACCAUCGCCGCUCUGCUCCACGUCCUGUGGCGAAUUUCGCACAGCUCCACUACCCCCUGGCAGGCCACAAUAACGGCCAUGAACCUGCUCCACCUCCUGCGACGGAUACCAGGCGAUUCUCCCACCCACUGGCAAGUCACGACAACGGACGCUGCUCCACUCCCCACAACUGAUUCCACGUGGCGAGCUACGGAGAUAGCCACGAUUCAGCUCCACUACCCCUCGCAAUAAAUUCUCCCUGACUACGGGCGGCCCACGACCAGACGGUUACAGACGUCGCCAUCAAUCCGUUACCUCCUCCGCCUAUAAAAGGGGGACCCAGAUACGUUAUUCUCUAGGCUCAUUUCUUAUCUCAAAACUCUGCUAAAUUCUCCGUUCGAGCACUCCAUUCUUGUUGAGGCAGAGAACUGACUUGAGCGUCGGAGGGUCUUGCCGGAGCAACCCCACCUCCGGUUUAGACUUCCUUUGCAGGUCCCGGCGGCGACCGCGGCUUCCUCGACUCCAGCUUCUCCGGUGCAAGCAGAUUUUUGCACCAACAGGAUUGGCGCUAGAAGAAGGGCUGAACCUUCGCAGCACCCUUGUUCUUAAAGGAGUGUUCAACGGAGUCAUCCCCGACCGUCUCUCCGUCACCCACUCCUAACCUCCCUUCGCGAGAUCGACACUCGAUGCCUCCGCGCAAGGCGUCCACCCGGCGGUCUACGGCCUCC
This 764-nucleotide long non-coding RNA is filed under the name Elaeis guineensis (African oil palm). RNAcentral describes it as "long non-coding RNA (EGUI_LNC045205)". The record is from RNAcentral. Lineage: Eukaryota; Viridiplantae; Streptophyta; Magnoliopsida; Arecales; Arecaceae.